GAGAGGCACACCAACACCAGCAGAUGAGUCUCUGUUUAAUACUUGGGAUAUUAUAACAGUAAGGUAAUUCUAGUUUGGGUACAUUUUUGGCAGAUUUGAUCUCUCCCUUAAAUUGGAGAUAUAACUGUAGGGCAUAGCAUAUAUUUGUUAUGCUACAUUAAAAGAGUACUAGUGGUUUUGUGUUGAAGUGUUUAAUGUAUAUUGUCAGUCAGUAAGUCAGAGCACUUUGUUCCAGUUAUAGCUCCAGAAGUCAGUCACCAGCAGCAGAUGUCACACAGUUAUAAAAUGGGAAACUGGAAGAAUAAGCCCCAGAAGUCAGCAGCAGCAGCAGCAGACGUCACACAGCCAUAAUGCGAGAAGCUUGAAGAAUAAUGUGUUAUGGCUCCGAUAGUCUUCCAGCAGCAGCAAAUGUUACACAGUCCUAUAGAGGCAAACUUGAAGUAUGAGGUAAUAGUGUUUUGCAUAGAAUGGCAAGCUUGACCUUUC
Long non-coding RNA from Schistocerca americana (American grasshopper), 486 nucleotides. RefSeq lists it as uncharacterized. The transcript is spliced from 3 exons. The record is from RefSeq and is a predicted model, not a curated record. NCBI's taxonomy places the organism in Eukaryota, Metazoa, Arthropoda, Insecta, Orthoptera, Acrididae.